UACGGAGGGAGCUAGCGUUGUUCGGAAUUACUGGGCGUAAAGCGCACGUAGGCGGCUACUCAAGUCAGAGGUGAAAGCCCAGGACUCAACCCUGGAACUGCCUUUGAAACUAGGUAGCUAGAAUCUUGGAGAGGUCAGUGGAAUUCCGAGUGUAGAGGUGAAAUUCGUAGAUAUUCGGAAGAACACCAGUGGCGAAGGCGGUUCUCUGGGACGGUACUGACGCUGAGACGCGAAAGCGUGGGGAGCGAACAGG
Molecule: ribosomal RNA, 253 nt
Filed under: uncultured bacterium
Lineage: Bacteria
Description: partial 16S ribosomal RNA
Rfam family: Bacterial small subunit ribosomal RNA
Source: RNAcentral